This 448-nucleotide long non-coding RNA is filed under the name Equus asinus (donkey). RNAcentral's name for it is "lncRNA (ENSEASG00005024143.1)". The record is from RNAcentral. Lineage: Eukaryota; Metazoa; Chordata; Mammalia; Perissodactyla; Equidae.
GGAAUGGCGCUUGUCGCCCCCUUUGGACGACAUGUCCUUAAGACCAAAGGUUUGGGGUCUCAGGGAAGUCCUGGCAAAGACUGUGGCUCAGGAGGCUGUGCAGAGACGGUGGCCAAGUUCAUUGUCAUUGUUAAAUUGUAUUUCCCAACCAGACGUUCUGAGAGUGAAAGAGAAUGCUGCUGAGCUUACACCAGUGGCAGAAAUUCAGACCACUUCUCAGAGACUUCCAGGAACUUGGAGAAACACAGCUUCCCCGAGGGAGAGCCAAGAGCCCAGUGACAUUUCCUGUCAAAUGUCCAAGGCGAACUCCAGGUCCAGAGUGUCAGCCCUGGUAUGUGGCACUGCGAUCAGCCGUUGGAAGGAUUAUCUGCCACUUGUUUCCAGUGCUUUCCCAGUAGCCUUCUGAAAGCCAGCGGGGGUUCCGCCUGGUCAGAAAAGACCUCUUUCA